Molecule: ribosomal RNA, 179 nt
Filed under: Debaryomyces hansenii
Lineage: Eukaryota; Fungi; Ascomycota; Pichiomycetes; Serinales; Debaryomycetaceae
Description: 5.8S ribosomal RNA
Rfam family: 5.8S ribosomal RNA (bases 22-175)
About the family: 5.8S ribosomal RNA (5.8S rRNA) is a component of the large subunit of the eukaryotic ribosome. It is transcribed by RNA polymerase I as part of the 45S precursor that also contains 18S and 28S rRNA. Functionally, it is thought that 5.8S rRNA may be involved in ribosome translocation.
Source: RNAcentral
UUAAAUUCAAAAAAUCUUCAAAACUUUCAACAACGGAUCUCUUGGUUCUCGCAUCGAUGAAGAACGCAGCGAAAUGCGAUAAGUAAUAUGAAUUGCAGAUUUUCGUGAAUCAUCGAAUCUUUGAACGCACAUUGCGCCCUCUGGUAUUCCAGAGGGCAUGCCUGUUUGAGCGUCAUUUC